RNAcentral lists this ribosomal RNA (2921 nucleotides) under Staphylococcus aureus M0715. Its description in RNAcentral is "bacterial LSU rRNA". It matches the Rfam family "Bacterial large subunit ribosomal RNA". The record is from RNAcentral. Lineage: Bacteria; Bacillati; Bacillota; Bacilli; Caryophanales; Staphylococcaceae.
UUAAGUUAUUAAGGGCGCACGGUGGAUGCCUUGGCACUAGAAGCCGAUGAAGGACGUUACUAACGACGAUAUGCUUUGGGGAGCUGUAAGUAAGCUUUGAUCCAGAGAUUUCCGAAUGGGGAAACCCAGCAUGAGUUAUGUCAUGUUAUCGAUAUGUGAAUACAUAGCAUAUCAGAAGGCACACCCGGAGAACUGAAACAUCUUAGUACCCGGAGGAAGAGAAAGAAAAUUCGAUUCCCUUAGUAGCGGCGAGCGAAACGGGAAGAGCCCAAACCAACAAGCUUGCUUGUUGGGGUUGUAGGACACUCUAUACGGAGUUACAAAGGACGACAUUAGACGAAUCAUCUGGAAAGAUGAAUCAAAGAAGGUAAUAAUCCUGUAGUCGAAAAUGUUGUCUCUCUUGAGUGGAUCCUGAGUACGACGGAGCACGUGAAAUUCCGUCGGAAUCUGGGAGGACCAUCUCCUAAGGCUAAAUACUCUCUAGUGACCGAUAGUGAACCAGUACCGUGAGGGAAAGGUGAAAAGCACCCCGGAAGGGGAGUGAAAUAGAACCUGAAACCGUGUGCUUACAAGUAGUCAGAGCCCGUUAAUGGGUGAUGGCGUGCCUUUUGUAGAAUGAACCGGCGAGUUACGAUUUGAUGCAAGGUUAAGCAGUAAAUGUGGAGCCGUAGCGAAAGCGAGUCUGAAUAGGGCGUUUAGUAUUUGGUCGUAGACCCGAAACCAGGUGAUCUACCCUUGGUCAGGUUGAAGUUCAGGUAACACUGAAUGGAGGACCGAACCGACUUACGUUGAAAAGUGAGCGGAUGAACUGAGGGUAGCGGAGAAAUUCCAAUCGAACCUGGAGAUAGCUGGUUCUCUCCGAAAUAGCUUUAGGGCUAGCCUCAAGUGAUGAUUAUUGGAGGUAGAGCACUGUUUGGAUGAGGGGCCCCUCUCGGGUUACCGAAUUCAGACAAACUCCGAAUGCCAAUUAAUUUAACUUGGGAGUCAGAACAUGGGUGAUAAGGUCCAUGUUCGAAAGGGAAACAGCCCAGACCACCAGCUAAGGUCCCAAAAUAUAUGUUAAGUGGAAAAGGAUGUGGCGUUGCCCAGACAACUAGGAUGUUGGCUUAGAAGCAGCCAUCAUUUAAAGAGUGCGUAAUAGCUCACUAGUCGAGUGACACUGCGCCGAAAAUGUACCGGGGCUAAACAUAUUACCGAAGCUGUGGAUUGUCCUUUGGACAAUGGUAGGAGAGCGUUCUAAGGGCGUUGAAGCAUGAUCGCAAGGACAUGUGGAGCGCUUAGAAGUGAGAAUGCCGGUGUGAGUAGCGAAAGACGGGUGAGAAUCCCGUCCACCGAUUGACUAAGGUUUCCAGAGGAAGGCUCGUCCGCUCUGGGUUAGUCGGGUCCUAAGCUGAGGCCGACAGGCGUAGGCGAUGGAUAACAGGUUGAUAUUCCUGUACCACCUAUAAUCGUUUUAAUCGAUGGGGGGACGCAGUAGGAUAGGCGAAGCGUGCGAUUGGAUUGCACGUCUAAGCAGUAAGGCUGAGUAUUAGGCAAAUCCGGUACUCGUUAAGGCUGAGCUGUGAUGGGGAGAAGACAUUGUGUCUUCGAGUCGUUGAUUUCACACUGCCGAGAAAAGCCUCUAGAUAGAAAAUAGGUGCCCGUACCGCAAACCGACACAGGUAGUCAAGAUGAGAAUUCUAAGGUGAGCGAGCGAACUCUCGUUAAGGAACUCGGCAAAAUGACCCCGUAACUUCGGGAGAAGGGGUGCUCUUUAGGGUUAACGCCCAGAAGAGCCGCAGUGAAUAGGCCCAAGCGACUGUUUAUCAAAAACACAGGUCUCUGCUAAACCGUAAGGUGAUGUAUAGGGGCUGACGCCUGCCCGGUGCUGGAAGGUUAAGAGGAGUGGUUAGCUUCUGCGAAGCUACGAAUCGAAGCCCCAGUAAACGGCGGCCGUAACUAUAACGGUCCUAAGGUAGCGAAAUUCCUUGUCGGGUAAGUUCCGACCCGCACGAAAGGCGUAACGAUUUGGGCACUGUCUCAACGAGAGACUCGGUGAAAUCAUAGUACCUGUGAAGAUGCAGGUUACCCGCGACAGGACGGAAAGACCCCGUGGAGCUUUACUGUAGCCUGAUAUUGAAAUUCGGCACAGCUUGUACAGGAUAGGUAGGAGCCUUUGAAACGUGAGCGCUAGCUUACGUGGAGGCGCUGGUGGGAUACUACCCUAGCUGUGUUGGCUUUCUAACCCGCACCACUUAUCGUGGUGGGAGACAGUGUCAGGCGGGCAGUUUGACUGGGGCGGUCGCCUCCUAAAAGGUAACGGAGGCGCUCAAAGGUUCCCUCAGAAUGGUUGGAAAUCAUUCAUAGAGUGUAAAGGCAUAAGGGAGCUUGACUGCGAGACCUACAAGUCGAGCAGGGUCGAAAGACGGACUUAGUGAUCCGGUGGUUCCGCAUGGAAGGGCCAUCGCUCAACGGAUAAAAGCUACCCCGGGGAUAACAGGCUUAUCUCCCCCAAGAGUUCACAUCGACGGGGAGGUUUGGCACCUCGAUGUCGGCUCAUCGCAUCCUGGGGCUGUAGUCGGUCCCAAGGGUUGGGCUGUUCGCCCAUUAAAGCGGUACGCGAGCUGGGUUCAGAACGUCGUGAGACAGUUCGGUCCCUAUCCGUCGUGGGCGUAGGAAAUUUGAGAGGAGCUGUCCUUAGUACGAGAGGACCGGGAUGGACAUACCUCUGGUGUACCAGUUGUCGUGCCAACGGCAUAGCUGGGUAGCUAUGUGUGGACGGGAUAAGUGCUGAAAGCAUCUAAGCAUGAAGCCCCCCUCAAGAUGAGAUUUCCCAACUUCGGUUAUAAGAUCCCUCAAAGAUGAUGAGGUUAAUAGGUUCGAGGUGGAAGCAUGGUGACAUGUGGAGCUGACGAAUACUAAUCGAUCGAAGACUUAAUCAA